RNAcentral lists this ribosomal RNA (254 nucleotides) under uncultured bacterium. RNAcentral describes it as "partial 16S ribosomal RNA". It matches the Rfam family "Bacterial small subunit ribosomal RNA", at positions 524 to 776 of the family's 1533-position model. The record is from RNAcentral.
UACGGAGGGGGCGAGCGUUGUUCGGAUUUACUGGGCGUAAAGGGUGUGUAGGCGGCUGGAUAAGUCUGGUGUGAAAUCUUCACCGCUCAACGGGAAGGGGUCACUGGAAACUGUCCAGCUUGAGUAUGGUAGAGGCAAGCGGAAUUCCUGGUGUAGCGGUGGAAUGUGUAGAUAUCAGGAAGAACACCGGUGGCGAAGGCGGCUUGCUGGGCCAUCACUGACGCUGAGACACGAAAGCGUGGGGAGCAAACGGG